GACGAACGCUGGCGGCGUGCCUAAUACAUGCAAGUAGAACGCUGAAGGAGGAGCUUGCUUCUCUGGAUGAGUUGCGAACGGGUGAGUAACGCGUAGGUAACCUGCCUGGUAGCGGGGGAUAACUAUUGGAAACGAUAGCUAAUACCGCAUAAUAGUAGAUGUCGCAUGACAUUUGCUUAAAAGGUGCAAUUGCAUCACUACCAGAUGGACCUGCGUUGUAUUAGCUAGUUGGUGAGGUAACGGCUCACCAAGGCAACGAUACAUAGCCGACCUGAGAGGGUGAUCGGCCACACUGGGACUGAGACACGGCCCAGACUCCUACGGGAGGCAGCAGUAGGGAAUCUUCGGCAAUGGACGGAAGUCUGACCGAGCAACGCCGCGUGAGUGAAGAAGGUUUUCGGAUCGUAAAGCUCUGUUGUAAGAGAAGAACGAGUGUGAGAGUGGAAAGUUCACACUGUGACGGUAUCUUACCAGAAAGGGACGGCUAACUACGUGC
This 496-nucleotide ribosomal RNA is filed under the name uncultured bacterium. RNAcentral describes it as "bacterial SSU rRNA". It matches the Rfam family "Bacterial small subunit ribosomal RNA", at positions 28 to 508 of the family's 1533-position model. The record is from RNAcentral.